Molecule: long non-coding RNA, 2263 nt
Organism: Phacochoerus africanus (Common warthog)
Lineage: Eukaryota; Metazoa; Chordata; Mammalia; Artiodactyla; Suidae
Exons: 7
Source: RefSeq, a predicted model, not a curated record
AAAGAAGAGGAAUUGGUAGGCAAUCUUACUUACACAACUGGCCCCGUGCUUGGCUCCAGGAAGAAUGUAAUCCCUGACUCUAAUGCAAAGAACUUUUAAAGGCUGAGGCAUGGAGCCCUCUAGUGUUCUGUUUGGAAACAGACUGGGAAAUAUCCCAUCUCUUGGCGUGAGAAAGGAUUGAGAGUGCUUAGCAGCAGUGGAAUAAACAUCUCCUGACAUGAAUGCCAUCACCUUCUGUCCAGCCCAGAAGCCAGGAUUAGAGCGCCAGGUUUUCCAGGGACUCACCUUUCCAUCCUGGCCGUUGUACAGAGUAACUGUGAGGUCCCACCACUCCUGAGAAGAGAAGGCCUAGAAGUUCAUUAAAAGGUUAGCUUUGGGCUGUGAGUGUGCAGAGCAAGUCUGAAGAAGGACAGGAAGCAGCGCCGAUCCAAUCCUUGGGAUCAAAGAUGAGGGCUCCAUGCUCUCCCCAACCCUGGGGCUGUCAGCCAGAAAUCAGGAAAAGCAGAAAGAGUGCUGCCAGGCCCCCACUCUGCCCAGAGCCCAGAAUACCGGCAGGCUUCGGAGAAAAACUUCCAUCCAGGAUCUUGGCUGAUGAGCAACCUGGGCAGCAGAAAACCUAAAAAGCCAGUUCAAGCAUCCACCCAAAGAAACUGUCUCCUGUUAACACUGGAACAACCAUAGGUAGAACAGGGCUCGGUGUAUCUGGGCCAUUUCUCUGACAUUCCCUUGGCUGUGCACCGGUCAGUGGCUGACGCUCCUCCUCAUCACAGGUGGGAGGCUUCCUAAAGCGACUGAUUCCACGUGACUUCUCCUUCGCCUUUCGAUGGUAAAAAGGGAUAAGCACCUCACAGCCACCAAACAAAUUUCCUGAGCUUCAUGCAAAAGCCUAUCACCAUGGAUAAAAUGAUGUCAUAUGGGUUUACCCCUUGGUUACACACUAAUUGCUGAAACAAUAACUGUAGAGGUGGAUUUCACAAUUUCAACAAAUAUAUUCUAGUUAAAUUUUGGUUAUUACAAAAUAUUGAGUACAGGUCCCUGUGCUAUACAGUAGGUACGGUAUCAAAAGGUUGGGAAUGAAAUGAGGAACCAUCCAAGCAGACGGAUGAAGACUUCAGAGGAUGGGAGAGAACCCAGGAGGAUGUGGUGUUUUGGAAGCCGUGUCAAUGAAAAGCAUCAAAGAGAAGGGGGAAAUCUCUGUGACAGGUGCCAAGGAAGGGUCACAUAAAUAAUGAAAAAGAAUUAGCCAUUGAAUUUAGUAAUGUGGCUGACACUGGUAACUUUGACAGUUUCCAUGAAGUGAUGGGAGCAAAAGGCAAGGGUGACACACCGUGAAUGCCAGCAGGAGGGGCAGAGAUUAGGUGGGAUGCUGUCCUGGAAACAAGAAAAUCCCUAAGACACAGCACCUUAAGACUGACUCUGCCAUGUUCAUAACACUCUACAAACUACAUCACAGGGACACCCCCAGGAGAGAUGAGCAGGAGGCUGGGAGGCUGUUUGAUAAGCUGAGCGCUGUUUGUGUUGUUUUCAAUUUUGUUAAGACAGACUGAAUAUUAAAUAAAUCUUCUGGAGUUCCUCAUGUGAUGCAGUGGGUUAAGGAUCCAGUGUUGUCUCUGCGGUGGCUCAAGUCUCUACAGAGUCAAGGGUUCAAUUCCUGGCCUGGCAGAGUGGGUUACUUAACAAGCAUUGCCUCAGCUUUGACAUAGGUUGCAGCUGCAGCCCAUAUUGGAUCCAUGGCUUGUUUUAAGCAUUGCUUGCAGGUGAUGAGGGACCUUUGCUGGGAGACUGAGCAUGAGCAAGAGCAGAGCUGCUUCAAGACCCAGAGGACAUCACAGUGAGGAGAAUUUCCUUUGAGUUUGUUCUAGAACCAGCAGGGCUCUGUGACUAAGGGAGCUACCGCUAUGGGAACCUGUAUGAUGCUGUGAACCUAUCAGUCACAGGAACAGAAGGACUUUUCCCAACAGCUUUGAUGCUGGUAUAUGUCAGCCUGUGGAAAUUAGGACAAGAAAAGACUAUAAAGAUGUCACAGCCUUGUGAGCACCUAGGAAACUUCGCUUGAAAACUGGCCAACAAACUGUGGGAUGCUGAAGUCUUACAAGCUUACUGCAGGAGGCUUUGCAAGUCAAGCAUUAAAAAUAAAAGAGGUCUGGAGUUCCUGUUGAGGCUGAGCGGAAAAGAAUCUGACUAGUGUACUAGUGUACAUGAGAAUGGGGAUUCUAUCCCUGCCCUCGCUCAGUGGGUUGGGGAUCCAGGGUUGCUUUGAGCU